AACGCACAUUGCGCCCCUUGGUAUUCCAUGGGGCAUGCCUGUUCGAGCGUCAUUUGUACCCUCAAGCUUUGCUUGGUGUUGGGCGUUUGUCCCGCGUUGCGCGUGGACUCGCCUUAAAGCGAUUGGCAGCCGGCAUAUUGGCCUUGGAGCGCAGCACAUUUUGCGCUUCUAGUCAUGAAUGUUGGCAUCCAUUAAGCCUAUACAUUUGCUCUUGACCUCGGAUCAGGUAGGGAUACCCGCUGAACUUAA
RNAcentral lists this unclassified non-coding RNA (249 nucleotides) under uncultured Pyrenochaeta. RNAcentral describes it as "partial contains 5.8S ribosomal RNA, internal transcribed spacer 2, and large subunit ribosomal RNA". Lineage: Eukaryota; Fungi; Ascomycota; Dothideomycetes; Pleosporales; Pleosporaceae. The record is from RNAcentral.